RNAcentral lists this small nuclear RNA (190 nucleotides) under Oncorhynchus mykiss (rainbow trout). RNAcentral's name for it is "U2 spliceosomal RNA (ENSOMYG00000068682.1)". It matches the Rfam family "U2 spliceosomal RNA". From Rfam's summary of the family: U2 is a small nuclear RNA (snRNA) component of the spliceosome (involved in pre-mRNA splicing). Lineage: Eukaryota; Metazoa; Chordata; Actinopteri; Salmoniformes; Salmonidae. The record is from RNAcentral.
AUCGCUUCUCGGCCUUUUGGCUCAGAUCAAGUGUAGUAUCUGUUCUUAUCAGUUUAAUAUCUGAUACGUCCCCCAUCGGGGGACUACAUAUUAAUGGAUUUUUCGAACAGGGAGUCGGAAAUGGGGCUUGCUCCGUCCGCUCCACGCAUCGACCCGGUAUUGCAGUACCUCCGGGAACGGUGCAACACUU